UAAGGUUUAACUAAAAUUAUAUUUAUGUAGGUACACAAUUUCAGUACGAUUAAGUUCAAAACGUUCGGAAAUAUAUUAUUAGUACAUUUAAUAUUUUCGGUCCCCCCCUCCCGUACUUUAGUUUAUUUAACAAAUCGAACAAUUAAUGAAUAAUUUUUAGAUUUUUUUAUGUAUCGCAACGUUUGAAACUGUGACGCGACAGCAGGUAUCAUCAGUAUAUAGACGCACAUGUAGGUAUAGAUAAUCUCGACUAAUUAAACAAUAUUUUAAAACGUUUUGAAAUUGUUUAGAAACUAAACACCGCGUGUUGAUAACGAACGACGCCAAAUUAUGUAAAGUGGAGUCCUGUGUCUAUGUUAUAAUCGAAUGUUUAUGAUGUUAUAAUCGAAAAAGGUCAUCUUUAUUG
Cinara cedri is the source of this 406-nucleotide non-coding RNA. The record is from the annotation of a GenBank genome assembly. NCBI's taxonomy places the organism in Eukaryota, Metazoa, Arthropoda, Insecta, Hemiptera, Aphididae.